This 494-nucleotide ribosomal RNA is filed under the name uncultured bacterium. Its description in RNAcentral is "partial 16S ribosomal RNA". It matches the Rfam family "Bacterial small subunit ribosomal RNA", at positions 28 to 507 of the family's 1533-position model. The record is from RNAcentral.
GACGAACGCUGGCGGCGUGCUUAACACAUGCAAGUCGAACGGUGAAGCGCCUUCCUUUUUGGUGGGUGUGGAUGAGUGGCGAACGGGUGAGUAACACGUGAGUAACCUGCCCCCUUCUUCUGGAUAACCGCAUGAAAGUGUGGCUAAUACGGGAUAUUCUGGGUCUGUCGCAUGAUGGGUCUGGGAAAGAUAUUGUUUCGGUGGGGGAUGGGCUCGCGGCCUAUCAGCUUGUUGGUGGGGUGAUGGCCUACCAAGGCGGUGACGGGUAGCCGGCCUGAGAGGGUAGACGGUCACACUGGGACUGAGACACGGCCCAGACGCCUACGGGAGGCAGCAGUGGAGAAUAUUGCACAAUGGGCGCAAGCAUGAUGCAGCGACGCCGCGUGAGGGAUGGAGGCCUGCGGGUUGUGAACCUCUUUCGCCAGUGAAGCAGGCCUGCCUCGUUUGUGGGUGGGUUGACGGUAGCUGGAGAAGAAGCGCCGGCUAACUACGUG